UUGUCAUAACCAAGUGAGUAUAAUGUCCUAGUUAUGAUUUUGACAAAUUCCAAUCUUUUAAUGACUCCUCGUGAACCAACUGUUUCUCCAUCCCCUUGGGAGGUUAAAGGCCGAACCAUCAAGUCUCCCAAUGAGCAAGCUACAGGUUCUGUAACAGAAGAAUGCUCCAAGAAGUUUUUUGAUUCUCCUAUGGGCACCUUCACACGCUUAAAGGGUGGUUCAUUAUCCUCCACAACUCCCAUGAAAAGUCGAAAUCAGCCCAUAUAUACUCUAGAGAGAGAAAGAGAGAGAGGAAAUGGGAU
This 302-nucleotide unclassified non-coding RNA is filed under the name Hevea brasiliensis (rubber tree). The record is from RNAcentral. Lineage: Eukaryota; Viridiplantae; Streptophyta; Magnoliopsida; Malpighiales; Euphorbiaceae.